AUUUAGCCCCGAUGGAAGCAAGCUACCAUGUAGCGCGUACAGCGGGAAUAGGC
This 53-nucleotide small RNA is filed under the name Flavobacterium croceum DSM 17960. RNAcentral's name for it is "Flavo-1 RNA". The record is from RNAcentral. Lineage: Bacteria; Pseudomonadati; Bacteroidota; Flavobacteriia; Flavobacteriales; Flavobacteriaceae.